This 196-nucleotide ribosomal RNA is filed under the name uncultured bacterium. RNAcentral describes it as "partial 16S ribosomal RNA". It matches the Rfam family "Bacterial small subunit ribosomal RNA", at positions 326 to 539 of the family's 1533-position model. The record is from RNAcentral.
ACGCUCGACACUACGGAGGCAGCAGUGGGGAAUAUUGCACAAUGGGGGAAACCCUGAUGCAGCGACGCCGCGUGGAGGAAGAAGGUCUUCGGAUUGUAAACUCCUGUUGUUGGGGAAAAAGAGGAUGGUACCCAACAAGGAAGUGACGGCUAACUACGUGCUAGCAGCCGCGGUAAUCUGAGCGGGCUGGCAAGGC